ACAGCCAUGCCGGCGCCAUCUGUGGAAGAACAACAAGCCGUCUUCCCUUAGAACACCAAUUUGCAGCAAGGUUGGUGCCUUCCGUUGCCACCACGGAUGCAUCCUAUAGACAGUCAUGAAUCAUUCAUGAACAGUUCUGCAUGAUUUAUUCCUGCACUCCAAAGUAAAGGCAUUCCACACUUCAGCUUUGUCUAGACAGAGAUAUAUUAUAGAGCUUUCUCUGCCCUGAGGUUGCCUGUUGCCAGCUUCAAAAAUCCACACUCUCAGAAAGAAAUAAUAAUAAUAAAUGACAGGAAGAAGGUUUGAAACCCAGAAAAUAUCAUUAACAGAGCCAUGUAGCAUAGUGCCCUAUCUAUUAUUAAGGCGUCACUAUGCCCUUUCUAGAAAACAGAAAGAGAGUGCAACUGGGAAGCCGGGGUGCAGAAAUUUUGCAUCGAAGUCUUGGCACAGUGAUAGUCACAGCAAGAAUUUACUAGAACGGAGUAUAAUAUCCAUCAAGAAACUCUCUUCAGAGAGUUUGCGGAAUGAAGGCUGCUCCGUGGCUUCUGUUACCAGCCAGAGAAAGGGAUUUUUUCUUUUUUAUUGUUGUUGUUGGAUUUUUUUCUCUCAGAGUUUCACUACAAGCUGUUUCCUUUGAGACUUUGUAGCACUGACAUUUUUCCCCCUUUAGGGAGAGAUGAACCCUAUACUGUGACAGAAUUUCUCAUAAACGAAUAAAUAUUUUACAACUUCCUUCCACCCAGGUCAUUGAGAAAUUCUUCCCAAACUCUGAACGACAGAGUUCUGGUCUCAUCUGUUGUUGUUUUUUCGUUCUUUGAAGACUGCAGCCACACUGUCACCUCUGUUCUAUUCCUCUUUCGCCUUUGGUUCUCGGCUUUAACUACAGCUCUGUUUAAAUAAGGGAUCAACAUCCUGUUUGUCAGCUGAUGCCUGUUAAAAACGAUUCAGUUUCUAAAAUCUUUGAAAAAUGGUGUGCCUGAAAACUAGUGAGAAAAAAAAAACCUAAAUACUAAACUGUAAAAAGGGGAUUCUAGCAACAAUAUUUGAUGUGGAAAAGAAUAUAUUAUUAAAAAAUUAUUUUGUUAAAUAUAAAGUGUGUUAACCAGCG
Molecule: long non-coding RNA, 1108 nt
Filed under: Equus caballus (horse)
Lineage: Eukaryota; Metazoa; Chordata; Mammalia; Perissodactyla; Equidae
Description: lncRNA (ENSECAG00000051457.1)
Source: RNAcentral